Molecule: non-coding RNA, 132 nt
Organism: Legionella longbeachae NSW150
Lineage: Bacteria; Pseudomonadati; Pseudomonadota; Gammaproteobacteria; Legionellales; Legionellaceae
Source: Rfam
CCGUUCAUACCACUGAACGAAGCUAGGGCCAUGAAUAAAGAGCUGGCCUGACAAUGUAACAAAAGAGGGGAAGCUCUCUGGGGGACGUAUCGUGAGAGAAGCCCUUCCUGGUAGCCAUAUCUGGGUAAGUGC